Molecule: ribosomal RNA, 465 nt
Filed under: uncultured bacterium
Lineage: Bacteria
Description: partial 16S ribosomal RNA
Rfam family: Bacterial small subunit ribosomal RNA
Source: RNAcentral
CCUACGGGUGGCAGCAGUAGGGAAUCUUCCACAAUGGACGAAAGUCUGAUGGAGCAACGCCGCGUGAGUGAAGAAGGGUUUCGGCUCGUAAAGCUCUGUUGGUAGUGAAGAAAGAUAGAGGUAGUAACUGGCCUUGAUUUGACGGUAAUUACUAAGAAAGUCACGGCUAACUACGUGCCAGCAGCCGCGGUAAUACGUAGGUGGCAAGCGUUGUCCGGAUGUAUUGGGCGUAAAGCGAGUGCAGGCGGUUCAAUAAGUCUGAUGUGAAAGACUUCGGCUCAACCGGGGAAUUGCAUCAGAAACUGUUGAACUUGAGAGCAGAAGAGGAGAGUGGAACUCAAUGUGUAGCGGUGGAAUGCGUAGAUAUAUGGAAGAACACCAGUGGCGAAGGCGGCUCUCUGGUCUGCAACUGACGCUGAGGCUCGAAAGCAUGGGUAGCGAACAGGAUUAGAUACCCUGGUAGUC